Small nucleolar RNA from Elaeis guineensis (African oil palm), 109 nucleotides. The record is from RefSeq and is a predicted model, not a curated record. Lineage: Eukaryota; Viridiplantae; Streptophyta; Magnoliopsida; Arecales; Arecaceae.
AGACCAUGGUGUGGGCAUUUUCUAAGAAAUUUCUUAAGUCUCUCCCAUGACUCAUGAAUUUAUUCCUCUGAAAGCUGAGCAAAUUCAGUGAUGGCUCACCUCAUGGUGU